GACCUAGCUCCGUGAUGGUAGAGUCGGACGGGUGAGUAACACGUGGGUAACCUGCCUGUAAGACUGGGAUAACUCCGGGAAACCGGGGCUAAUACCGGAUGGUUGUCUGAACCGCAUGGUUCAGACAUAAAAGGUGGCUUCGGCUACCACUUACAGAUGGACCCGCGGCGCAUUAGCUAGUUGGUGAGGUAACGGCUCACCAAGGCGACGAUGCGUAGCCGACCUGAGAGGGUGAUCGGCCACACUGGGACUGAGACACGGCCCAGACUCCUACGGGAGGCAGCAGUAGGGAAUCUUCCGCAAUGGACGAAAGUCUGACGGAGCAACGCCGCGUGAGUGAUGAAGGUUUUCGGAUCGUAAAGCUCUGUUGUUAGGGAAGAACAAGUGCCGUUCAAAUAGGGCGGCACCUUGACGGUACCUAACCAGAAAGCCACGGCUAACUACGUGCCAGCAGCCGCGGUAAUACGUAGGUGGCAAGCGUUGUCCGGAAUUAUUGGGCGUAAAGGGCUCGCAGGCGGUUUCUUAAGUCUGAUGUGAAAGCCCCCGGCUCAACCGGGGAGGGUCAUUGGGAAACUGGGGAACUUGAGUGCAGAAGAGGAGAGUGGAAUUCCACGUGUAGCGGUGAAAUGCGUAGAGAUGUGGAGGAACACCAGUGGCCGAAGGCGACUCUCUGGUCUGUAACUGACGCUGAGGAGCGAAAGCGUGGGGAGCGAACAGGAUUAGAUACCCUGGUAGUCCACGCCGUAAACGAUGAGUGCUAAGUGUUAGGGGGUUUCCGCCCCUUAGUGCUGCAGCUAACGCAUUAAGCACUCCGCCUGGGGAGUACGGUCGCAAGACUGAAACUCAAAGGAAUUGACGGGGGCCCGCACAAGCGGUGGAGCAUGUGGUUUAAUUCGAAGCAACGCGAAGAACCUUACCAGGUCUUGACAUCCUCUGACAAUCCUAGAGAUAGGACGUCCCCUUCGGGGGCAGAGUGACAGGUGGUGCAUGGUUGUCGUCAGCUCGUGUCGUGAGAUGUUGGGUUAAGUCCCGCAACGAGCGCAACCCUUGAUCUUAGUUGCCAGCAUUCAGUUGGGCACUCUAAGGUGACUGCCGGUGACAAACCGGAGGAAGGUGGGGAUGACGUCAAAUCAUCAUGCCCCUUAUGACCUGGGCUACACACGUGCUACAAUGGACAGAACAAAGGGCAGCGAAACCGCGAGGUUAAGCCAAUCCCACAAAUCUGUUCUCAGUUCGGAUCGCAGUCUGCAACUAGACUGCGUGAAGCUGGAAUCGUUAGUAAUCGCGGAUCAUCAUGCCAAGAUAGCCGUAGAGUUUGAUCCUGGCUCAGACUCAAGUCGUAACAAGGUAACCGUAGAGUUUGAUCCUGGCUCAGACUCAAGUCGUAACAAGGUAGCCGUAGAGAG
RNAcentral lists this ribosomal RNA (1406 nucleotides) under Bacillus sp. (in: firmicutes). RNAcentral describes it as "bacterial SSU rRNA". It matches the Rfam family "Bacterial small subunit ribosomal RNA". The record is from RNAcentral. Lineage: Bacteria; Bacillati; Bacillota; Bacilli; Caryophanales; Bacillaceae.